RNAcentral lists this ribosomal RNA (300 nucleotides) under Triticum aestivum (bread wheat). RNAcentral's name for it is "partial small subunit ribosomal RNA". The record is from RNAcentral. Lineage: Eukaryota; Viridiplantae; Streptophyta; Magnoliopsida; Poales; Poaceae.
AUGUACCUACCACUAGGGGAAAAAGAAGAGAAGUGCCUUGCAGACGCUGGAAUCUUCAGCACCGGUUCCUUUCAUGCGUCGACGACGACGCCCGCCUUUCUUUCACUGUUCAAUGAUGAAAGAAACCUGCCUUCUCAGCAAAGAGGCUCCACGUGUAAGGGCACAAUUUUUUCAAACGAACAGAUGAAAAAAAAAUACGACCUAACUCAUUUUCCAGUAAAUAAUUUUCUUAUUCCGCGCGCCCGCGGUGAGAUUCUAUCAACGGCUAUCAAGUCAAUGGCUCUCGAUUUUCACCGGUGA